RNAcentral lists this ribosomal RNA (253 nucleotides) under uncultured bacterium. RNAcentral's name for it is "partial 16S ribosomal RNA". It matches the Rfam family "Bacterial small subunit ribosomal RNA", at positions 524 to 776 of the family's 1533-position model. The record is from RNAcentral.
UACGGAGGGUGCAAGCGUUAAUCGGAAUUACUGGGCGUAAAGGGUGCGUAGGUGGUUUAAUAAGUUAUCUGUGAAAUCCCUGGGCUUAACCUAGGCAGGUCAGAUAAGACUGUUAGACUAGAGUAUGGUAGAGGGUAGUGGAAUUUCCGGUGUAGCGGUGAAAUGCGUAGAGAUCGGAAGGAACACCAGUGGCGAAGGCGGCUACCUGGACCAAUACUGACACUGAGGCACGAAAGCGUGGGGAGCAAACAGG